This 223-nucleotide ribosomal RNA is filed under the name Staphylococcus simulans. RNAcentral's name for it is "partial 16S ribosomal RNA". It matches the Rfam family "Bacterial small subunit ribosomal RNA", at positions 70 to 283 of the family's 1533-position model. The record is from RNAcentral. Lineage: Bacteria; Bacillati; Bacillota; Bacilli; Caryophanales; Staphylococcaceae.
CAGACGAGGAGCUUGCUCCUCUGACGUUAGCGGCGGACGGGUGAGUAACACGUGGGUAACCUACCUAUAAGACUGGGAUAACUCCGGGAAACCGGGGCUAAUACCGGAUAACACAUGAAACCGCAUGGUUUCAUGAUGAAAGACGGUUUUGCUGUCACUUAUAGAUGGACCCGCGGCGUAUUAGCUAGUUGGUAAGGUAACGGCUUACCAAGGCAACGAUACG